UUAACAAAUUUUACUAAGGUUUAUUACUAAUUAAAUACCUAUUAGCAUAUAUAAUUCAUAACCACAUCACAAUUUACUUCAUUUCCAAACCAAAAUAUAUAUCUAGGUUGAUUAUUUAAACAAAACAUCAUUCAUAACAUGUAUACAAACCAACUUUGAUCUAAUCCACAUCAAUCCCUAUACAUGCCAUAUAAACCAUGUUGAACGCUUCAAAAACUACCGGAACAAGCUGGAUAGUCUGUCUUGAUGUGCUCAUCUGAUCUUCCGACCUCACGAAAAUCUACAAAGACAUUAAACAAUACAAGUAAGCUUAAUGAAGCUUAGUAAGUUCGAUAGGUUAAACAUAAAUCUUACUGAACCUACCAUAACACAUCAAUUAAAUAAAUUCAUUCAAUGUAAACUCCCUGCCAAUCACAACUUCAAUCGAUGAAUACACUUAUUUCAGAUCAAUACCGAUAACAAAUAAUAUGUCCUUCAAUUUCAAUUACAUAUAUUCACUUACCAAAUCUUCCCAAAUUGAAGAACGGCUUACGAAUAAAAGUACAUCAUUUUUAGAAGCCCGAUGGCUAAACAGAAGCUCAUGAGAGCUAAACAGAAACCCAUAAGGGUUGAACGGAAGCUUGUAAGCGCUAAACAGAAACCUGUAAGAGUUAAACAGAAGCUCAAUAAAGCUGAACGGAAACUCAUAUGAGUUAAACAGAAGCUCGUAAGAGCUAAACGAAAAGUAAACACGAAAGUUCACAACAUAUGCUGAACCUCAGUUUACUUGGGUAAUUUGCUGUCAUUUUCCUCCAAUGUCGUCAAUUCACCGAAUGCCAAAUGUACUCAAAUCUCGCGUUUCAUUUAAUCCGAAUAUCCAAUUUAAUUUUAUAACUUUAACAAUAUUUCAUUUUCAACAAUAGAAUAAAUACAUAAUACCAUUCAUCAAAUCAAUAUAAAUAUUAAAUUUUAACCAUACGAACUUACCUGGAUUGAAUUGUAAUAUUUACAGAAGUUUAGGGACUAUUACGCUAAUUUUCCUUUUCACAAGUAUCUAUGGGUUCUUGAUCUAAAAUAUAAAAUUAUUCAUUCAUUAGUACAUAUUUCAGUUCCAAUUCACUUCACAAUUAAUACCCUUCAAUUAUUUAAAUUUACACAAUUACCCCAAACUUUUACAACUUUUACAAUUUAGUCCCUUAACUAGUUAAUCUAUCAAUUGAACUAAUUUUUCUCAAUUAAUAAUUUAUUCAAAUAUUCUAAGCUACCAUACAGGCCUUGAUAAAACAGAAAUUUAAUACCAACGCUAAUUUUUUAACUUCUUCACAAUUUGACCCUAAAAUCAAUAUUUAACAAAAUCACUUUAUAAAAUCAUUAUAUAACAAAAUUAAAGCUCUAAAUCUAUGUUUAUUCAUCUAAAACAUCUUAUAUUCAUCAAUGGUAACUUCCAAAAUUUUCAAUAAAAUCAAAAACUAAGGUAAUAUUAAGUUGGACUUAAUUAUAAAAGUCUCAAAAACAUAAAAAUUACAAAAAAAAAAUGGCAUUAGACUUACAUGCAGCAAAAAUAUACAAAACCAGUUGAAAC
This 1561-nucleotide long non-coding RNA is filed under the name Gossypium barbadense (sea-island cotton). RNAcentral describes it as "long non-coding RNA (GBAR_LNC012114)". The record is from RNAcentral. Lineage: Eukaryota; Viridiplantae; Streptophyta; Magnoliopsida; Malvales; Malvaceae.